Molecule: ribosomal RNA, 1602 nt
Filed under: Candidatus Azambacteria bacterium RIFCSPHIGHO2_02_FULL_45_18
Lineage: Bacteria; Candidatus Azamiibacteriota
Also listed under: 2 other names
Description: bacterial SSU rRNA
Rfam family: Bacterial small subunit ribosomal RNA
Source: RNAcentral
AGAAUUUGAUCCUGGUUCAGGAUGAACGCUGGCGGCGUGGAUAAGGCAUGCAAGUCGAACGAACCCAGUAAGAUUACAUCAAGUUGGGUUAGUGGCAGACGAGUUAGUAACACGUAGGAACUUACCCCGAAGACGGACACAACCUGCCGAAAGGUGGGCUAAUAUCCGAUAGUCUCCGACCUCGCAAGAGCGUCGGAGUAAAGGUUGGCAACAGCCGCUUUGGGAGAGGCCUGCGGGCUAUCAGCUAGUUGGUGAGGUAAUAGCUCACCAAGGCUAUGACGGCUAGGGGGCGUGAGAGCGCGUUCCCCAACGAGGAAACUGAGACACGGUUCCUACUCCUACGGGAGGCAGCAGUCGAGAAUAUUCCGCAAUGGGCGAAAGCCUGACGGAGCGACGCCGCGUGGAGGAAGAAGGUCUUCGGAUCGUAAACUCCUUUUGGCAGGGAAGAAGGACCGUACCUCACUGCAUUCGGUAUGGAAUUUCUAAUUUUUAAUUUCUAAUUUUUAAUCAAUUUUUAAUGAUUUAAUUUUCAAACAUUAAGUCAUUCAAUCAUUUAUUGAAAAUUUAAAAUUUAAAAUUGAAAAUUCCGCCCGAGCGUAGCGAGGUGCGGUUCUGACGGUACCUGCAGAAUAAGGCGCUGCUAACCUCGUGCCAGCAGCCGCGGUAAUACGAGGGCGCCAAGCGUUAUCCGGAUUUAUUGGGCGUAAAGCGUCUGUAGGGGGUUAUGUUAGUUCAAUGUUAAAGCCCGCGACUCAAUCGCGGAAGUGCAUUGAAUACGGCAUGACUUGAGGGAGUCAGAGGCAAAUGGAACGGCCGGUGUAGGGGUGAAAUCCGUUGAUAUCGGCCGGAACACCAAAGGCGAAGGCAUUUUGCUGGGACUCUCCUGACCCUCAGAGACGAAAGCGUGGGUCGCGAAUGGGAUUAGAUACCCCAGUAGUCCACGCCCUAAACGAUGAGUGCUCGCUAUUUGAAGUAUCGACCCUUCAUGUGGCUUAGCUAACGCGUUAAGCACUCCGCCUGGGAAGUACGAGCGCAAGCUUAAAACUCAAAGGAAUAGACGGGGACUCGCACAAGCGGUGGAGCAUGUGGUUCAAUUCGACAGUAAACGAAAAACCUUACCAGGGUUUGACACUAUACCAAAAACCUUAAGAAACUAAGGUGUGUUCACAAGACGGGUAUAGCAGGUGCUGCAUGGUUGUCGUCAGCUCGUGCCUUGAGGUGUUCCGUUAAGUCGGGAAACGAGCGCAACCCCUAUUGCCAGUUACAAGUGUCUGGCGAGACUGCCUGCGUUAGUAGGAGGAAGGAGGGGAUGACGUCAAAUCAGCAUGGUCCUUUGAUACCCUGGGCUACACACGUGCUACAAUGGAAAGUACAAUGGGUCGCCAACCCGCAAGGGGGAGCUAAUCCCAUCAAAACUUUCCCCAGUUCAGAUCGAGGGCUGCAACUCGCCCUCGUGAAGUAGGAAUCGCUAGUAAUCGUGGAUCAGCAUGCCACGGUGAAUACGUUCUCGAGUCUUGUACUCAAAAUUAAAUGCGCUUGGCAGCGCAAAAGACUAAGUGGUUAAAAUCCACUCUCGCGUAAUCUGCGCGAGUAGCUUAAGGA